Molecule: long non-coding RNA, 274 nt
Organism: Rhododendron vialii
Lineage: Eukaryota; Viridiplantae; Streptophyta; Magnoliopsida; Ericales; Ericaceae
Exons: 2
Source: RefSeq, a predicted model, not a curated record
GGUUCAGAGGCGGCUACGAGCACCGUGACUCCAAGUAGGGAGUGAGCUCGUGUUGGUACCUUUUUGGCUGGGCCUCGAGUGUUUUCUUUUCAGGUGCGUGACGGCACGCGGGUCCACUGCAGAGUCUAGACUGGAGUUGUGUAUAUAGUGGUCUAGCUUUUUGACUCUUUUGAUUAUGUGCCUAUUUUUGGAGCUUGUAUAUGUUGUAAAUACCCGUGGGCACGUCUUGUAUGACAGUUGUUUCCGUAUAUAUGCAAGUUAAGUUUUUUUUUUU